Molecule: ribosomal RNA, 253 nt
Filed under: uncultured bacterium
Lineage: Bacteria
Description: partial 16S ribosomal RNA
Rfam family: Bacterial small subunit ribosomal RNA
Source: RNAcentral
GACAGAGGGUGCAAACGUUGUUCGGAAUUACUGGGCGUAAAGCGCGUGUAGGCUGCUCGGAAAGUCGGAUGCGAAAGCCCUGGGCUCAACCUAGGAAGUGCAUUCGAAACUUCCGAGCUGGAGUGCUGGAGAGGAAGGCGGAAUUCUCGGUGUAGAGGUGAAAUUCGUAGAUAUCGAGAGGAACACCAGUGGCGAAGGCGGCGAUCUGGGAAGAUACUGACGCUGAGGUGCGAAAGCGUGGGGAGCAAACAGG